AUCCCCUCCUCCACCGCCGACGGCCCCACCGACCAAGAACUCCCCCUAAAGGUGCCUCCUCCCCCUCCUUCGAAGAUUUUUUUUUUUUAAUUUUCGAACCUUCGUGAGCCCUCACCCACCUCCUCUUGAGUUUUUUCUCUUCUACACACAUGGUGGACGGAGGCAUGCCCAUGUGACGGAUGGAGACUCACCAAUGCGGUUGCUCCAUUUUAAUAUAUAUAUAAUAUAUGACUUUC
RNAcentral lists this long non-coding RNA (236 nucleotides) under Elaeis guineensis (African oil palm). Its description in RNAcentral is "long non-coding RNA (EGUI_LNC020844)". Lineage: Eukaryota; Viridiplantae; Streptophyta; Magnoliopsida; Arecales; Arecaceae. The record is from RNAcentral.